CAAAUCGUGCAGUGAUGCAUGGUUGAACCGUAAGAAGUCAGCAGAGGUCAUAGUACCGGAGACGGGAAGGGC
Non-coding RNA from Natranaerobius trueperi, 72 nucleotides. The record is from Rfam. NCBI's taxonomy places the organism in Bacteria, Bacillati, Bacillota, Clostridia, Natranaerobiales, Natranaerobiaceae.